GAGAGAAGAUACUGUGAGAACAGAGAAGCUAUCUGUGGGGUGUUUGGAGGGGUGCAGCUUGCAGCUCCAUCAUCCUCUUCUGUGGAGGAAAGACUGGAUUGUUCUUCUCAGAGAAAGGUGGUGUGGUGGGGAGGAAGACGUGAAAGGCAGCUGGGCUACAGAUUACCUGCAGCAGAGCUAGGGGCACUGGUUUCUAUGAUGUGUUACUGGCUUACUUGUUUAGUUUUCUAUUCUGUCCCACCCUCAACUAGUCUGAAACCUAGGGUCCAUGAGAGCAGAAUCUCAUUCUUGGUCACUGCUAUAUCACAGUGCCUAUAGCAAUGCUGUCACAUAGUAGGUGCUCAAUCAAGAACAGCGAAUAAAUAAAAAGCCCAGCCUAGUCCACUAUGUGCUAUGGUGCCUUUAGCCAGCCCUCCUCUCUGCUCCCCUUCUAAGCCUCUGUUUUCCUAUCCAUAAAAUGAGGAGGCUGGACUUGGUAUUCUCUAAAACCCCUUUCAGAGUUGACAUUCUAGAAGUCUAUGAAGUUGGUAAAUCUGUGGGGCAAUGUGGAAGUGGGUUGAGCACUGACAGAGCAAUUAUUUUCUCAUUUGAAAAAGAGCCUGGAUACUGAAAACAGUGUUGGGCUUAAAGUCAGAAAACCUGUACUAUAUCCCUAGAUCUGCUUCAUACAAGCUGCAUCUCGGGUGAGUCACCUCACCCUGCUGAUCCUUAGUUUUCUCGUUUGUAAAUGAGGCUACAGUGCCACCUUGCAAGGCUUGCAUGGUUCGUAAAUAAGUUAAUGAACAUAAAGCACCUGGUGGGCACAUGGCACCCAAUGAGUCAAAGCCAGCUACACCUGUGCCUUUCCUGUUGGCUCAGUUCCCCUAAAUACUCCUCAGAUUACAUCUCAGCCAUUUUUCUUUUGAGCUAAAGGAAGUGAACUUGAUGUGGCACCACUGAAAUUAGAAUGAAAAGGAAGCCAGCUGACAUGGGUCACCUAUGUUUAAGUAUUAUCUCAAACACGGAAAUGCCACAGCCACCACAUGGGAUAGCAUCUCCAGUUUAGAGGUCUGACUGUUUACUAUGUGCUUCCCACAACUUUUGCUGCCUUGGACCCAGUUCUGACUUGGCUGUUUGAGGGGAAGCAGUUGGUGAGUCAAGCAGACACUGUCAGCUGACUUAAUUGGCACCAGAGCUUCACCAACGUGAAGACGGACUCCUUGUGGAGGCACCAGCUGCCCUGCAGAGGUGGAGGAACUGAUGCUGUUGCCUUGUAAUGCUUGUUCUGAUGCCUGCUGCCACAUGUUCAAUCCCUAUCAUCACCUUCAGUGCCUGUGUCAAACAUGACCUCCUCCAGGUAGCCUCUCAGACUCUUGGGUUAGAAGUCUUUCCCCUCUGAACUCCCAUGGCAUUUUAUCUGUUCUUCUUCUACAAAACUUACUGCUGGCUACUUUCCGUUAGAGGUCUCUGUGCUCACAUCUUAUUCCUUUAUUAGACUGUAAGCUCCCUGUGGGCAGAAACUAGGUCUUAAUCAUACUGUGUCCUUAGAUCCUGGCAUAAUGUCAGUAGGUAAAUAUGUGUGGACCUGAAUUGAAUCAGCUGGUCAUCUGAUUUUAUAAACAAGAGGGGAAAUCUGGAUCGUAUAUGUAUGAUCUAUUUGAAACCACAGGUUCAUGGAAAUCUAACAGGUCUUUGGAAAUUAUCUAGAGGCCUCCUCAUUUUAUCGUUGUGAAACUGAAGCAUAGACUUCAAUGCCUUCUCAUGGUCACGUGUCUGGAGAAUCAUAUCUUGCACUUGGACUCAGGUUCCUGGACCUCCAUCCCAGGUGUCCUGCCCUGACAAAUGAGUGAGCGAGUGAGUGAGCAGACACGCCUUGGAAAGGGCCAGUAGGUCAUUCCCAGAACCACAGCUGGCUUUGGGAGUCAGCUUGCCCCU
RNAcentral lists this long non-coding RNA (1914 nucleotides) under Homo sapiens (human). RNAcentral's name for it is "HSALNT0316953". Lineage: Eukaryota; Metazoa; Chordata; Mammalia; Primates; Hominidae. The record is from RNAcentral.